RNAcentral lists this ribosomal RNA (165 nucleotides) under uncultured bacterium. Its description in RNAcentral is "partial 16S rRNA". It matches the Rfam family "Bacterial small subunit ribosomal RNA", at positions 355 to 511 of the family's 1533-position model. The record is from RNAcentral.
UAGGGAAUCUUCCACAAUGGACGAAAGUCUGAUGGAGCAACGCCGCGUGAGUGAAGAAGGGUUUCGGCUCGUAAAACUCUGUUGUUAAAGAAGAAACAUAUCUGAGAGUAACUGUUCAGGUAUUGACGGUAUUUAACCAGAAAGCCACGGCUAACUACGUGCCAG